UCGGGUAUUUUUUUAAAAUGUCUUUAAGAAUAUUUUUUGUUUGUAUGUCAAAACCCAUGUGACAUUUAGGGAAAAUGUUUUCUAUAACAUUUGAUGGCGGUAUCGACCAUUUUUGUAUGUUUCUUCGGUAGUAAUAAAAAUGAGAGUAUCCUAACACCAGUGUAAUUUGUUCCACGAGUAAUUGUGGGGCCGCGGAUGAACUAAAGCAUACAUUUUCAUCAUUCCCUGACAUUAAAAAUUCUCUAUUGGAAUCCUACAAUAACUCAUUUGAAGAAAUUUAAUUUUCAAAUGAAGCUUCUAAUUUAUCAUUUACAGAUUCUAUUGUUCGCAUACUAUGCAAAAUUCGUGCAGCUUCUUCUUCAUCUGCAAUAUUUCUGUUACUAUUAACUUCUAUUGGAGAAUUUACAGCCAGUUCCACGAUAUCGAAAUAACACGUUCGCACAACUUUUACACGACAAUCAGCUGAUUUCCGUUCCACUAAAAUCCAUCAGAACGAAAAUUUGCACGAAAAUCAAAGCGAACGAAAACGUAAGCGUUUCAGUGUAAUUUUGCGUUCCACUAUCUUUUUUCUUUCGUACGCAUGCGAACACAAAUGUCAAAAUCAAUCACUUGUGUGUUUGCUGUCGUAUGAUAACAAUUAAGGAAAAUUGUUUUAACAUAAACAUUGCUUGAUUUAAAAUGGAAACAAAAAUCACGAAAAAAUCAUCAACUACACAGCUGCGGUCACUAGUUGAGUAUAUGGAGGAGAAUCUGAGUUCGCCAGAGGAGUUCCAAUCUUUGGAAGCAGCAGAAGAAGUUUUAAAUCUGGGCGGAUUUGGGUAGUUCUGCAACCGGGCACCCACUUCUCUUCCAUCAUAUCCAAAAGAGCCCGAAAAACUUCCUUCGACACACGAAAAUUGGCCACAAACCUAGAAAAAAUCAUUUUUUAUUAUUUCGAAAAUGUAAAAAUACAAUAAUACUUACUGGUUGUUAGGUACUUCAAAUAAAUUCGAAGCAUCUCUUAAAUGCCUCCGUGGCACAUUUUGAACCUCCUCCACAUCAUCCAUAAAAAAUAGGGCUACGGAAAUAUUCGUCCCAAUUACGGUUUUCGUUUCUAUAGUCGUCGUCGACUUUAUGUGCAAGUCGCCCUCACCGUCGCUUCGAUUCAAAAAUGGUAUUACGCUAAGGCAUGGAAGCGACAUCGACAGUUUAAAAUAAAAGUUGGCAACAACUAAAAAAGGCGUUGGCAACAAUCCCUUGUUAUUGACAAAAUAAGAUAAAAAUUUGUUUUUAUUUUGAAUUCUAAUUUCGUCUCUUUCGGAAAAAUAAAAAAUAUAGUGAAACAAUGGAUAUUAUAAAUGCAUUACAUAGCUUAAGUUCAAGUGAGGAUGAAGUGGAGAAUGUAUUAGUAGAGCAGCGGCGAGUGCUAAGCCAGCAAACAAAUAUGUUUGCAUUGCCUGACUCUUGACUGUGUUGUUCCAAAAGUUUAUACUGCUCUUUCAAGAAUUCAAUAGUUUCUUCUUUCCUUGAUGAUUUUUUAUCAUUGUUUUUUUUUGGGCGAUCGAGAAUUUUGGAUAGUAGUUACAUCAGUCUCGUCAUCAGCAUUCUCCACUGGCUCAUUUUCAUGAUCUAUAACGUCUGUUACAAUUAUGUUUUCCGUAUUUUUUACUCCAAAUGCACGACCUGGUGCAUUCAGUAACUUUUGAAACUGCAUUACAUUCGCGAAGGACUUCUCCCAAAGCGACAAAGUCAUUUGCUUAAAAAUAUCACCUCCAGUGCUGCUGGCUUCACCCUUAUUGUGCACAAUUGUUUUUUAGUUUUACAUUUUUAAUUUUUCCAAACCUAGACGAACUUUAGAAAACUAACUAAUAAAAACAUACAAAAAUAAUUUUAACUUUAAUAUACUUCUUGCCAGUCUCUAAUCGGUGACCGUUUACAUUUAAUUUUGUAGCAAUGGAUUCCAAUCUAAUUUAAAAUUAGCUGGAAAAUUACCUUUGGUAAACCCUUUGGCAAACAUGGUUUUUUUUAUUCAAUUCGGAAACUAACAUUUCAAAUUGUUUUGCUGUUGUUAUUUUCUUGGUCAAAUAUCAAAUACAAAAAAGUUACAAUAUCAACGUCCACUAAAAAAUACAAUGUCGUUACAAUUUUUUACGGCGACAGAUUUUCUUAAAAAUCGACUUCACGUCGACUGUUGUAUCGACAGUUAUAAUAGCAAUCAUUUGUCGCUAUCGACAAAAAACGACAACCCUAAUAUCAUUAUUGUCGCUUCGACUUCAUUUUGCGACGCCGACGACAACCAUAAUAGGGCCGAUUCAUUUUUUUAUUUUUUAAGAACACAAAUAGUUUGAACACAAUCACUAGAAAUUUUAUUUUGUUUGUUUAUUUACAAUUUGUUUGUUUACAACUGAACUGUCAAUUGAGACAGAGCCACUGUUGCUUUUUUGCGUUUAAAUUAGACAUUUGGCGCUUUUUUUGCCUUAUUUCGCGAUUAAUUUUUUCAAAAAAUAUUUAGCAACACUGAAUCACGUAAGGCUAUGCGAAAGAAAGAACGAAAGUUAGUGGAACGCAUUCUUAUACGAAAGUGAGUGAGUAGCCUCCGUUCGCACAAAUUUUCUUUCGAGAUCGUGGAACAGGCUGUUAAAGAUUCCAUACUAAGGAAAAGGUGCUGCUUCUUUUUCUUCUGCCGUGUAUGUGCCAUUAUUAUUUCCGCUAUUGUUAUUACCAUGGUAGAAGAAUAUAGGUAGACGCUUCGACACAGCUGCUGGGACAAUGAACUGUCAAACCAAUUUUGGAAUCUAAAUUGUUGAAUGAAAAAUUACUCAAAUUUGUAAAUAUUGUUAAAAAAUGCAUAUUAUAACAACCUCCGAUUGGCGUCGUGUAGGAAAACAAAUACAAAUAUACUUAUUUUUGAGGAAAUAUUUAAAAAAUUUUGAUACAUCAAUACUCCCAAUCGUUGAUGCAUCUACCUGUAUUUUUCUACCAUGGUCAUUACUAACAACUGUAUCUGUUCCAGAACGGCACUUUAUGAGUGUUUAUUUAUCAUGUUUCUGUUGUAAUGUUGACAGUUAUCAAAGUUUCCUCUAUUCUCUCUUUUGACAUUUCCGAGGUUAUUUGUCUUUGGCAGUCAAAAGGAGAAGUCGAAAAACAGCGAAAUAAACGCGCGCUACUGUGUUCUAAAUAAAAUUGUUUUCUUUUGCGUUAACCGCAAGGCUCCUUCUUUGACAUUAAUACAGAACAAAUUCUUUAUUUCGCAUUUUGUUUGGUUUGUGACGCAAAAAAUUGUGUACUUUGCUGUGUGUGGAAAAAAUAUAAAGCAAGUUUGAGGUUGGGAAGAUGGCACCACCUGUUCGCCACCAACACUGAGAAGCACAUUCAGCGCAGACACUAUUACAUCAGAUCAGCCUGAUCAUGAAGCCCAAGUGGAUGUAAGUAGUGAAGUCUAUGGAAACACACAAGCAACGCCAAGAACGGAGACAAAUAACCAAACUAUGUCAUCUGCCGUACAUAGUGGAACAAAAAAGCCUGCAUCUAACAACAAUGUAAGUGAUAAUAAUGCCAUCACAGAAACGCCAAGGGGAACGUUUCAAGCCAAAAGAAGACAGUUUCCAAGCCAGGUAAUGCCAUGAAAGCUACAGAGCCAGGCGCAAGUAGCCAACAGAAGGAAGUGGAUAAUUUAGCUGACAUCAAAAAGCAAAUGGCAUAUCUAAAACGACAACUUUUGGAAACAAAAUCUCAACUAUCCGAGAGUCAACGCCAAUGCCAGCAGUUUGAGGUUAUGUCCCAAAAGCCAUCAGGAGAAACGGUAAGUGACCAUAACCUAAAUCCUAUCAACGUGUCCGCCAUUGAUUUAGCAAACACAACAACAACUAUGCCGCCAAUUAGGCAAGCCGCACAUACAUCGACAUCAACAGUCGCCAUUACAACGCAACCGCCACCCGCUGCCAAUGUCAACGUCGAACAAACUCCGACGCAAGCUGCAACAGAUAAUUUCUGCGCUUCUUUGCCGCCAGCAAUAAAUACAAAUUUAUCGCCAUGUUCUACAAAUAUUAACCUCAGCCAACAACAGUAUAGAAAUUUGUAUGGUACAGAAAAUGGAGUCCGUGAGGUCAUGGCUCAUCGGAAAAUUAUUGAUCUGUCUGAAUUCACCGUCGUUUCUUAAAUCUCAGCUUGCAAGAAAAAUGGAAACAAAUUAAACAAAUACGUGCCUGCUUUUCUUGUUUAAGUCGAUUUAAGCCGUAGUCGAUUAUGCCCUAUAGAAGGUUGCCAACGUAAGCAUAAUAAACUACUACAUGAGGGUGCCCCCUGCGUACCAGCUGUUAAUCCGUCGAAUCCUGAGCCAGAAUAUCAACAAAAUGUCCUCAGCUGUUCUUCUAAAGUUAAUAAAAAACUACUUUUUCGUGUAUUGCCAGUCACACCAUAUGGAAACAAUUGUCGUAUGGAUGUAUAUGCUCUCUUUGAUGAUGGAUCAUCUAUAAGCAUGAUGGUCAAGGACAUUGCUGAAAGAAUAGGAGUGCGAGGAAAUAGUUGCUCUUUAAAUAUUCAGUGGUUCGGAGGGAGGUCUGCUAGGGAACCUGUGACGUCAUUCAAUGUGAAGGUGAGUGGAGUGAACAAAAGGAGUUGCCACCUGAUGAAAAAUGUUUAUGCAGUAUCAAAUUUAAAUCUUCCAAUGCAAAGUUUGACACAAAAAGAGAUUGAAGCAGCAUUUAAAUCAAAUCCAAAUCCGCCAGUGAAGCCAUAUUCGAAUAUCGUGCCAAAAUUAUUAAUCGGUUUGGAUAAUGCCUUUUUAGGGUUGCCAACAUUUACUAAUUUUAAAGAUUUAUCGGGCCCAUUUGCUUGCAGCACUGAAUUGGGUUGGGUUGUUUUUGGACCCUGUAAAUCGAUAUCGCCAUCUAAAUCUUCGUGCCUUUUCGUAAAUGUGGAAGCAGAUCAACAUGUCCAUAAAAUUGUGGAAGAUUACUUUAACAUUGAAAACAUGGGUGUUCGAGCAGCCCCUUUAAUGGAAUCUGAAGAUGAUACAAGGGCAAAAGAAAUUCUUUCCGAGUCAACAAAAAGAGUUGGAAAUAGAUUUAAACGGAUUAUUAUGGAAAAAUGAGAAUGUGGAGUUGCCAGAUAGUAACACUAUGGCACUUAGGCGACUAGAAGGAGCCGAGAAGAAAUUGAAAAGGGACUAAAAUUUGUAUGCUGCUUAUACAGAAGUUAUAAAUGGAUAUAUAGCCAAGGGAUACAUAAGAGAAGUCCCACCCGAAAAUGUCGACCUGAUAUCAAACAGAAAAUGGUACUUGCCACAUUUUGGAGUUAUUAACCCGAACAAAGAAAACAAAAAGUUUAGAUUAGUUUUUGAUGCCGCCGCCAAGGUAAAUGGGACUUCAUUAAACGACAAUCUAUUAAAAGGUCCCCAAUAUAUUUCAUCAUUGCCUACAAUACUUUAUAAUUUUCGACGUGGGAAUAUUGCAGUGUGUGCUGAUAUUAAAGAAAUGUUCCAUCAAGUGAUAAUGCAGCCAAGUGACAGAAUAUCUCAAAGACUUUUGUGGAGAAAUUGUAACCCUGACGUGCCGCCUGUUGAAUAUGAGAUGACAGUCAUGACUUUUGGAGCCGCCUGCUCACCAUGUUCAGCCAUAUAUGUUAUGAAGAUUAAUGCUAAAGAACAUACUGACUGCCACCCCAGAUCAAUAGAAUCGAUUUGUGAACAUCACUACAUCAUAUGGACUGCAAAGAUUUUGUUAUAUAUCCAAAUAUUUUUCUCAUUUAAUUUUGAUAUGCAGCGUAAGAAUUGAAUUGUAUUUUUCAAAAUUGUUUUUUUUUUUAAUCAAACUUAGACUCGUCCGCAUAUAACUCAACUAAAGGCGUAAUAUGUACUACAAUAGCUUUUGCUGCUUCAAAUUCUAAUUGAUUGUGUAUUUCUAUAGACUCAUUCAUAGAAGCAACAACUUCAUCAUUAAAUAUAGCUAAUAUGUCUUCAAAUUUAAAUUUUUUAUAUGAAUAAGCAGAUUUUCUUUUAGGGUUUGCAGCAACGCUCGUAUGUGGUUGUACAUGUAUGAACCGAGCGUGUAUAUACCACACCUUGAGACUUGAGGCAACAAAAUAUUUUGAAAAAUUAUUGCGUGGCGUGAUAUACAACCAGUAGCAAUUUCUAUGAACUUUGAAAAUACACUUGAUGCUUUACGCAAUUUUCUGUGGUAAGAAAUGGCAUCGCAUAUGCUCAUAAAUGUAGUUGCCCCAAUUUCAUUCACUUCUUUAAAAAUCCGAACUACGAUAUUGUUCAUAAUAUUCUAAAGAUUUUGGCGUCGGUGUUUGUGCAACGCCGAUCAGUAGGGGUGGAUCCUUACUUAAAAGACGUUGUAAAAGAAAUACAUAUGCUGUGGCUUUACCAUUAUUAUGUAUAAUAUUUACCUCAUCGAACAACAAUGUACAAAUCGGGUAUUUUUUUAAAAUGUCUUUAAGAAUAUUUUUUGUUUGUAUGUCAAAACCCAUGUGACAUUUAGGGAAAAUGUUUUCUAUAACAUUUGAUGGCGGUAUCGACCAUUUUUGUAUGUUUCUUCGGUAGUAAUAAAAAUGAGAGUAUCCUAACACCAGUGUAAUUUGUUCCACGAGUAAUUGUGGGGCCGCGGAUGAACUAAAGCAUACAUUUUCAUCAUUCCCUGACAUUAAAAAUUCUCUAUUGGAAUCCUACAAUAACUCAUUUGAAGAAAUUUAAUUUUCAAAUGAAGCUUCUAAUUUAUCAUUUACAGAUUCUAUUGUUCGCAUACUAUGCAAAAUUCGUGCAGCUUCUUCUUCAUCUGCAAUAUUUCUGUUACUAUUAACUUCUAUUGGAGAAUUUACAGCCAGUUCCACGAUAUCGAAAUAACACGUUCGCACAACUUUUACACGACAAUCAGCUGAUUUCCGUUCCACUAAAAUCCAUCAGAACGAAAAUUUGCACGAAAAUCAAAGCGAACGAAAACGUAAGCGUUUCAGUGUAAUUUUGCGUUCCACUAUCUUUUUUCUUUCGUACGCAUGCGAACACAAAUGUCAAAAUCAAUCACUUGUGUGUUUGCUGUCGUAUGAUAACAAUUAAGGAAAAUUGUUUUAACAUAAACAUUGCUUGAUUUAAAAUGGAAACAAAAAUCACGAAAAAAUCAUCAACUACACAGCUGCGGUCACUAGUUGAGUAUAUGGAGGAGAAUCUGAGUUCGCCAGAGGAGUUCCAAUCUUUGGAAGCAGCAGAAGAAGUUUUAAAUCUGGGCGGAUUUGGGUAGUUCUGCAACCGGGCACCCACUUCUCUUCCAUCAUAUCCAAAAGAGCCCGAAAAACUUCCUUCGACACACGAAAAUUGGCCACAAACCUAGAAAAAAUCAUUUUUUAUUAUUUCGAAAAUGUAAAAAUACAAUAAUACUUACUGGUUGUUAGGUAUUUCAAAUAAAUUCGAAGCAUCUCUUAAAUGCCUCCGUGGCACAUUUUGAACCUCCUCCACAUCAUCCAUAAAAAAUAGGGCUACGGAAAUAUUCGUCCCAAUUACGGUUUUCGUUUCUAUAGUCGUCGUCGACUUUAUGUGCAAGUCGCCCUCACCGUCGCUUCGAUUCAAAAAUGGUAUUACGCUAAGGCAUGGAAGCGACAUCGACAGUUUAAAAUAAAAGUUGGCAACAACUAAAAAAGGCGUUGGCAACAAUCCCUUGUUAUUGACAAAAUAAGAUAAAAAUUUGUUUUUAUUUUGAAUUCUAAUUUCGUCUCUUUCGGAAAAAUAAAAAAUAUAGUGAAACAAUGGAUAUUAUAAAUGCAUUACAUAGCUUAAGUUCAAGUGAGGAUGAAGUGGAGAAUGUAUUAGUAGAGCAGCGGCGAGUGCUAAGCCAGCAAACAAAUAUGUUUGCAUUGCCUGACUCUUGACUGUGUUGUUCCAAAAGUUUAUACUGCUCUUUCAAGAAUUCAAUAGUUUCUUCUUUCCUUGAUGAUUUUUUAUCAUUGUUUUUUUUUGGGCGAUCGAGAAUUUUGGAUAGUAGUUACAUCAGUCUCGUCAUCAGCAUUCUCCACUGGCUCAUUUUCAUGAUCUAUAACGUCUGUUACAAUUAUGUUUUCCGUAUUUUUUACUCCAAAUGCACGACCUGGUGCAUUCAGUAACUUUUGAAACUGCAUUACAUUCGCGAAGGACUUCUCCCAAAGCGACAAAGUCAUUUGCUUAAAAAUAUCACCUC
Molecule: long non-coding RNA, 8144 nt
Organism: Musca domestica (house fly)
Lineage: Eukaryota; Metazoa; Arthropoda; Insecta; Diptera; Muscidae
Exons: 3
Source: RefSeq, a predicted model, not a curated record